GGCUGGUCUGAGUGCAGGGGGUGUUUAAAACUAAUUGAUCACAACUAGUUACAGAUUCCUUUGUUCCUUCUCCACUCCCACUUGUUUCACUUGACUAACCUUUA
RNAcentral lists this Y RNA (104 nucleotides) under Microcebus murinus (gray mouse lemur). Its description in RNAcentral is "Y RNA (ENSMICG00000046418.1)". It matches the Rfam family "Y RNA". Rfam says of the family: Y RNAs are components of the Ro ribonucleoprotein particle (Ro RNP), in association with Ro60 and La proteins. The Y RNAs and Ro60 and La proteins are well conserved, but the function of the Ro RNP is not known. The record is from Rfam by way of RNAcentral. Lineage: Eukaryota; Metazoa; Chordata; Mammalia; Primates; Cheirogaleidae.